RNAcentral lists this long non-coding RNA (758 nucleotides) under Pan troglodytes (chimpanzee). Its description in RNAcentral is "lincRNA". The stretch from base 633 to 758 matches the Rfam family "Prostate-specific transcript 1". Lineage: Eukaryota; Metazoa; Chordata; Mammalia; Primates; Hominidae. The record is from RNAcentral.
AAUUAGGCAGAAACCUUUUUGCCCUAUGCCAUAACCUGUGUCUGCAACUUCCUCUAACUGGGAAAUAGUUAAGCAGAUUCAUAGAGCUGAAUGAUAAAAUUGUACUACGAGAUGCACUGGGACUCAAUGUGACCUUAUCAAGUGAGAUGGAGUCUUGCCCUGUCUCACAGGCUGGAGCCCAAUGGCGCGAUCUCGGCUCACUGCAACCUCCACCUCCCAGGUUGAAAUGUUUCUCCUGCCUCAGCCUCCCAAGUAACUGGGAUUACAGCAGGCUUGGUGCAUUUGACACUUCAUGAUAUCAGCCAAAGUGGAACUAAAAACAGCUCCUGGAAGAGGACUAUGACAUCAUCAGGUUGGGAGUCUCCAGGGACAGCGGACCCUUUGGAAAAGGACUAGAAAGUGUGAAAUCUAUCAGUCUUCGAUAUGAAAUUCUCUGUCUCCGUAAAAGCAUUUCAUAUUUACAAGACACAGGCCUACUCCUAGGGCAGCAAAAAGUGGCAACAGGCUAGCAGAGGGAAAAGAGAUCAUGAGGCAUUUCAGAGUGCACUGUCUUUUCAUAUAUUUCUCAAUGCCGUAUGUUUGGUUUUAUUUUGGCCAAGCAUAACAAUCUGCUCAAAAAAAAAAAUCUGGAGAAAACAAAGGUGCCUUUGCCAAUGUUAUGUUUCUUUUUGGCAAGCCCUGAGAUUUCUGAGGGGAAUUCACAUAAAUGGGAUCAGGUCAUUCAUUUACGUUGUGUGCAAAUAUGAUUUAAAGAUACA